Molecule: non-coding RNA, 58 nt
Organism: Salmo salar (Atlantic salmon)
Lineage: Eukaryota; Metazoa; Chordata; Actinopteri; Salmoniformes; Salmonidae
Source: Rfam
UGGCUCAGUUGGUAGAGCAUGGUGUGGGCAACACCAGGGUUGUGGGUUCAAUUCCCAC